RNAcentral lists this ribosomal RNA (1087 nucleotides) under Vibrio sp. 5-38(2010). RNAcentral describes it as "bacterial SSU rRNA". It matches the Rfam family "Bacterial small subunit ribosomal RNA", at positions 389 to 1469 of the family's 1533-position model. The record is from RNAcentral. Lineage: Bacteria; Pseudomonadati; Pseudomonadota; Gammaproteobacteria; Vibrionales; Vibrionaceae.
CAGCCAUGCCGCGUGUAUGAAGAAGCCUUCGGGUUGUAAAGUACUUUCAGUCGUGAGGAAGGUGGUGUGUUAAUAGCAGCAUCAUUUGACGUUAGCGACAGAAGAAGCACCGGCUAACUCCGUGCCAGCAGCCGCGGUAAUACGGAGGGUGCGAGCGUUAAUCGGAAUUACUGGGCGUAAAGCGCAUGCAGGUGGUGGAUUAAGUCAGAUGUGAAAGCCCGGGGCUCAACCUCGGAACCGCAUUUGAAACUGGUUCACUAGAGUACUGUAGAGGGGGGUAGAAUUUCAGGUGUAGCGGUGAAAUGCGUAGAGAUCUGAAGGAAUACCGGUGGCGAAGGCGGCCCCCUGGACAGAUACUGACACUCAGAUGCGAAAGCGUGGGGAGCAAACAGGAUUAGAUACCCUGGUAGUCCACGCCGUAAACGAUGUCUACUUGGAGGUUGUGGCCUUGAGCCGUGGCUUUCGGAGCUAACGCGUUAAGUAGACCGCCUGGGGAGUACGGUCGCAAGAUUAAAACUCAAAUGAAUUGACGGGGGCCCGCACAAGCGGUGGAGCAUGUGGUUUAAUUCGAUGCAACGCGAAGAACCUUACCUACUCUUGACAUCUACAGAAUCCUGCGGAGACGCGGGAGUGCCUUCGGGAACUGUAAGACAGGUGCUGCAUGGCUGUCGUCAGCUCGUGUUGUGAAAUGUUGGGUUAAGUCCCGCAACGAGCGCAACCCUUAUCCUUGUUUGCCAGCGAGUCAUGUCGGGAACUCCAGGGAGACUGCCGGUGAUAAACCGGAGGAAGGUGGGGACGACGUCAAGUCAUCAUGGCCCUUACGAGUAGGGCUACACACGUGCUACAAUGGCGCAUACAGAGGGCAGCAAGCUAGCGAUAGUGAGCGAAUCCCAAAAAGUGCGUCGUAGUCCGGAUUGGAGUCUGCAACUCGACUCCAUGAAGUCGGAAUCGCUAGUAAUCGUAGAUCAGAAUGCUACGGUGAAUACGUUCCCGGGCCUUGUACACACCGCCCGUCACACCAUGGGAGUGGGCUGCAAAAGAAGUGGGUAGUUUAACCUUCGAGGAGGACGCUCACCACUUUGGGUCG